CCCUUAGAUGUCCUGGGCCGCACGCGCGCUACACUGACGGAGCCAGCGAGCUUACCCCUUUGCCGAAAGGCAUGGGAAAUCUUUUGAAUCUCCGUCGUGCUGGGGAUAGAUCAUUGCAAUUAUUGAUCUUGAACGAGGAAUUCCUAGUAAGCGCAAGUCAUCAACUUGCGUUGAUUACGUCCCUGCCCUUUGUACACACCGCCCGUCGCUCCUACCGAUUGAAUGAUCCGAUGAAUACCAUGGAUUGAGAGUACGAAUAGGUUCGCUUAUUUCUGCUGCUCGAGAAGUGGAGUAAAUCUUAUCAUUUAGAGGAAGGAGAAGUCGUAACA
Molecule: ribosomal RNA, 329 nt
Filed under: uncultured eukaryote
Lineage: Eukaryota
Description: partial 18S ribosomal RNA
Rfam family: Eukaryotic small subunit ribosomal RNA
Source: RNAcentral